This 869-nucleotide ribosomal RNA is filed under the name uncultured bacterium. RNAcentral's name for it is "bacterial SSU rRNA". It matches the Rfam family "Bacterial small subunit ribosomal RNA", at positions 26 to 896 of the family's 1533-position model. The record is from RNAcentral.
AGAACGAACGCUGGCGGUAUGCCUAACACAUGCAAGUCGAACGCGAAAGGGAUCUUCGGAUCCCGAGUAGAGUGGCGCACGGGUGAGUAACACGUGGAUAACCUGCCCUAUGAUCUGGGAUAACACUUCGAAAGGGGUGCUAAUACCGGAUAAGCCCACGAUCUCUUUGGAGUUUGUGGGAAAAGAUUUAUCGUCAUAGGAUGGGUCCUCGGUCCAUUAGCUAGUUGGUGGGGUAAUGGCCUACCAAGGCUACGAUGGAUAGCUGGUCUGAGAGGAUGAUCAGCCACACUGGAACUGAGACACGGUCCAGACUCCUACGGGAGGCAGCAGUGGGGAAUUUUGCGCAAUGGACGAAAGUCUGACGCAGCAAUACCGCGUGAAGGAUGAAGGCCCUUGGGUCGUAAACUUCUGUCAGUGGGGAAGAAAUGCCCGUAAGGGAGAUGACGGUACCCACAAAGGAAGCACCGGCUAACUCCGUGCCAGCAGCCGCGGUAAUACGGAGGGUGCAAGCGUUGUUCGGAAUUAUUGGGCGUAAAGAGCAUGUAGGCGGUUUGUUAAGUCUGAUGUGAAAGCCCGGGGCUCAACCCCGGAAGUGCAUUGGAUACUGGCAAACUUGAGUAUGGGAGAGGAAAGUGGAAUUCCGAGUGUAGGAGUGAAAUCCGUAGAUAUUCGGAGGAACACCAGUGGCGAAGGCGGCUUUCUGGACCAAUACUGACGCUGAGAUGCGAAAGCGUGGGGAGCGAACAGGAUUAGAUACCCUGGUAGUCCACGCCGUAAACGAUGGGCACUAGGUGUUGCGGGUAACCACUCCUGCAGUGCCGCAGCUAACGCAUUAAGUGCCCCGCCUGGGGAGUACGGCCGCAAGGCUA